AUUGAACGCUGGCGGCAUGCCUUACACAUGCAAGCCGAACGGCAGCAUGGAGAGCUUGCUCUCUGAUGGCGAGUGGCGAACGGGUGAGUAAAGCAUCGGAACGUACCGUGUAGUGGGGGAUAACGUAGCGAAAGUUACGCUAAUACCGCAUACGCACUGAGGUGGAAAGCAGGGGAUCGUAAGACCUUGCGCUAUACGAGCGGCCGAUGUCAGAUUAGCUAGUUGGUAGGGUAAAGGCCUACCAAGGCGACGAUCUGUAGCGGGUCUGAGAGGAUGAUCCGCCACACUGGGACUGAGACACGGCCCAGACUCCUACGGGAGGCAGCAGUGGGGAAUUUUGGACAAUGGGGGCAACCCUGAUCCAGCCAUGCCGCGUGAGUGAAGAAGGCCUUCGGGUUGUAAAGCUCUUUCGGCCGGGAAGAAAUCGCACAGGCUAAUACCCUGUGUGGAUGACGGUACCGGCAUAAGAAGCACCGGCUAACUACAUGCCAGCAGCCGCCGUAA
Molecule: ribosomal RNA, 504 nt
Filed under: uncultured bacterium
Lineage: Bacteria
Description: partial 16S ribosomal RNA
Rfam family: Bacterial small subunit ribosomal RNA
Source: RNAcentral